GACGAAUGCUGGCGGCGUGCUUAACACAUGCAAGUCGAACGCUGAAGCUUGGUGCUUGCACUGGGUGGAUGAGUGGCGAACGGGUGAGUAAUACGUGAGUAACCUGCCCUUGACUCUGGGAUAAGCCUGGGAAACUGGGUCUAAUACUGGAUAUGACAUGCCACUGCAUGGUGGUGUGUGGAAAGGGUUUUACUGGUUUUGGAUGGGCUCACGGCCUAUCAGCUUGUUGGUGGGGUAAUGGCCUACCAAGGCGACGACGGGUAGCCGGCCUGAGAGGGUGACCGGCCACACUGGGACUGAGACACGGCCCAGACUCCUACGGGAGGCAGCAGUGGGGAAUAUUGCACAAUGGGCGGAAGCCUGAUGCAGCGACGCCGCGUGAGGGAUGACGGCCUUCGGGUUGUAAACCUCUUUCAGCACGGAAGAAGCGAGAGUGACGGUACGUGCAGAAGAAGCGCCGGCUAACUACGUG
Molecule: ribosomal RNA, 472 nt
Filed under: uncultured bacterium
Lineage: Bacteria
Description: partial 16S ribosomal RNA
Rfam family: Bacterial small subunit ribosomal RNA
Source: RNAcentral